GAGGGUAUAGCUCAGUGGUAGAGCGCGUGCUUGGCGUGCAGGAGGUCCUGGGCUGAAUCCCCAGUACCUCCA
This is a transfer RNA of Camelus ferus (Wild Bactrian camel), 72 nucleotides long. It matches the Rfam family "tRNA". From Rfam's summary of the family: Transfer RNA (tRNA) molecules are approximately 80 nucleotides in length. Lineage: Eukaryota; Metazoa; Chordata; Mammalia; Artiodactyla; Camelidae. The record is from Rfam.